GAUGAAGAACGUAGCGAAAUGCGAUAAGUAAUGUGAAUUGCAGAAUUCAGUGAAUCAUCGAAUCUUUGAACGCACAUUGCGCCCCCUGGUAUUCCGGGGGGCAUGCCUGUCCGAGCGUCAUUACAACCCUCAAGCUCAGCUUGGUGUUGGGCCCCGCCGCCCCGGCGGGCCCUAAAGUCAGUGGCGGUGCCGUCCGGCUCCGAGCGUAGUAAUUCUUCUCGCUCUGGAGGUCCGGUCGUGUGCUCGCCAGCAACCCCCAAUUUUUUUCAGGUUGACCUCGGAUCAGGUAGGAUUACCCGCUGAACUUAAGCAUAUCAAUAAGCGGAGGA
RNAcentral lists this unclassified non-coding RNA (329 nucleotides) under soil metagenome. RNAcentral's name for it is "partial contains 5.8S ribosomal RNA, internal transcribed spacer 2, and large subunit ribosomal RNA". The stretch from base 1 to 120 matches the Rfam family "5.8S ribosomal RNA", at positions 35 to 154 of the family's 154-position model. The record is from RNAcentral.